RNAcentral lists this long non-coding RNA (706 nucleotides) under Homo sapiens (human). RNAcentral's name for it is "non-protein coding lnc-NBPF15-4:3". The record is from RNAcentral. Lineage: Eukaryota; Metazoa; Chordata; Mammalia; Primates; Hominidae.
ACCCUGAGGAGCCAGCUGGCGCAGGCUAUGGGCUGGGCGGCGGUUGAGACAGCGGCGGUAUCGGGAGGGGUAGGUGAGGGUCGCGAGGCUGCGUGAGCAUCUGAGUGAACGCGGUGCUUUUGGGAACGCGGGACGGGCGACCUGUGGCGCCAGGAGCGGGCCGAGGCGUGGCGCACGGAUGCCGUCUGGAUGGGAAGUUACGGUUUACAGCGAAGUCCACCCAGCGUUUCCGAGGUGAAGGCGCCGCGCCAGGCCGGGCGGGCGGCAAUCUGAAAGCAAAUCCUGUUUAGAUGCAGGCGAAGGUUCCUGGUGACCCAGGCUCUCACCUUACCGUCCCUUACCGUCCUCCUGAGGGUGUCCUGGAGCUUCAGUGCUGUGUGUUCUUGGCCUCCACGCUGGGGCUGCCACCAACUCCCACUGUCCAGGGCUUCCAGUGGACUCUCCGAGGUACUGAUGUAGAAACUUCCCCAUUCGGUGCACCAAGAGCAACCUCACACGGUGUGGGCUGAAUGAAGAGCUGCCAGAUCCCACAGGUGGCAAGGGCUCUGGAACAGCCACAUAAAGCCCUUGAAGAUAAGGAUGGUCAAACAAAAUAAUAUCAUACCUGGAGAAACUCAGAUCUUGGUAAGAUUUACUGGUUGGGAAUCCAAAGUUAAUGCCAAGAAGCAGCCGCCAGUUGGGAUCAAAUGUGAGCCUAUGGAUCAAG